This 253-nucleotide ribosomal RNA is filed under the name uncultured bacterium. RNAcentral's name for it is "partial 16S ribosomal RNA". It matches the Rfam family "Bacterial small subunit ribosomal RNA", at positions 524 to 776 of the family's 1533-position model. The record is from RNAcentral.
UACGGAGGGUGCGAGCGUUGUCCGGAAUCACUGGGCGUAAAGCGCGCGUAGGCGGCGCAGAUAGUCAACGGUGAAAGCUUGCGGCUCAACCCCGGGUCGGCCGUGGAUACUUCUGGGCUCGAGCACUGUAGAGGCAGGUGGAAUUCCGGGUGUAGCGGUGGAAUGCGUAGAGAUGCGGAAGAACACCGGUGGCGAAGGCGGCCUGCUGGGCAGUAGCUGACGCUGAGGCGCGACAGCGUGGGGAGCAAACAGG